AACGCGAAGAACCUUACCCGGGCUUGAACUACUCGUGGUAGGCCGCUAGAAACAGUGGCCGACCCGCAAGGGAGCGAGCAGAGGUGCUGCAUGGUUGUCGUCAGCUCGUGUCGUGAGAUGUUGGGUUAAGUCCCGCAACGAGCGCAACCCCUACUCGAUGUUGCUAAUCCCGCAAGGGAUGCACUCUUCGAGAACUGCCUUCGAUAAGAAGGAGGAAGGUGGGGACGACGUCAAAUCCUCAUGGCCCUUAUGUCCGGGGCUACACACGUGCUACAAUGGCCGGUACAACGGGAAGCAAUACCGUAAGGUGGAGCCAAACCCUGAAAGCCGGCCCCAGUUCAGAUUGUGGGCUGCAACUCGCCCACAUGAAGGCGGAAUCGCUAGUAAUCGCGAAUCAGCAGGUCGCGGUGAAUACGUUCCCGGGCCUUGUACACACCGCUCGCGA
Molecule: ribosomal RNA, 445 nt
Filed under: uncultured bacterium
Lineage: Bacteria
Description: bacterial SSU rRNA
Rfam family: Bacterial small subunit ribosomal RNA
Source: RNAcentral